UGCUUAGCAACUCCUAUUCCUAUCUCUUCGCGGUACAGGACGGGGUACGAGUAACAUUAGGGAAUAUCGAGUAACCAUCCCCCGGUGGAAACUUUGGUCGUAUGCUGACAGGGAAAG
Aedes aegypti (yellow fever mosquito) is the source of this 117-nucleotide non-coding RNA. Lineage: Eukaryota; Metazoa; Arthropoda; Insecta; Diptera; Culicidae. The record is from Rfam.